UAUACAAAUACAUUUAGUUUGAAAAGGUUAAUAAAAUACUUAGGCUGGAGCUUAGGUUUUAAAAAUUAUGUCAGUGGCAUCAGUUAUGAGAAUAAUUAUUAUGAUGAUACUUUUCAGAUUUUAUCAAGGAGAGCGGAUCAUUUAUAAGUUGACUCAUAGGUUCUGUUCCUAUUUCCCUUUUAAUCGUGUACUUAUGGCCUUCAUUUCAUUUCCUGCUACAUAACAUCACAAUUACCUUCACAUAUCAUAUAUUAUCGGGAGAGAUUCCUCUUGGUGAUCUCCAUUCCCUCAUAAUGGCUUUUGGAGCUGGAAGCAUCUUAGACCUUAUCAGGUUAUACUCCUUUUCAUUCCAAGGGGAUAAGAUCUAUCAGAGGUAAGUUUCUAUCCAAAGUCAUACCACUAGUGGGUGACAUGGCUGGAAAUAGAUAGAGAUCUAAACUCUAAAUCUCUACUACAAUAUGCUAUUGCUUUAUGAAACUCGGGUCUAUAACUGGGUGUAUCAUUAGAACACAGAUCUUCUAGGAUUCUCUCAUCAUUAAGGAGAAAAGAAGCCACACAUGUAUAGUAAUCCAGCACUUAGUUUAGGGUUAAACUACUGGGAAAUUCAAUACUCCAGAACAUACCUGUCAAGCUGACAACUGAUACAAAUUCCCUGAAUUUGAAUUCCUUUGACAAUAUCUGUAUUCCUUCAUUCAGUGACUUAAUAAAACUUCUUUUAAUAACUAA
Molecule: long non-coding RNA, 726 nt
Organism: Myotis daubentonii (Daubenton's bat)
Lineage: Eukaryota; Metazoa; Chordata; Mammalia; Chiroptera; Vespertilionidae
Source: RefSeq, a predicted model, not a curated record